AGAGUUUGAUCCUGGCUCAGGACGAACGCUGGCGGCGUGCUUAACACAUGCAAGUCGAACGGAAAGCGCUUUUCGGAGUGACUCGAGUGGCGAACGGGUGAGUAACACGUGGGUGAUCUGCCCUGCACUUUGGGAUAAGCCUGGGAAACUGGGUCUAAUACCGGAUAGGACUACGAAUCGCAUGGUUUGUGGUGGAAAGCUUUUGCGGUGUGGGAUGGGCCCGCGGCCUAUCAGCUUGUUGGUGGGGUGAUGGCCUACCAAGGCGACGACGGGUAGCCGGCCUGAGAGGGUGUCCGGCCACACUGGGACUGAGAUACGGCCCAGACUCCUACGGGAGGCAGCAGUGGGGAAUAUUGCACAAUGGGCGCAAGCCUGAUGCAGCGACGCCGCGUGAGGGAUGACGGCCUUCGGGUUGUAAACCUCUUUCAACAGGGACGAAGCGUAAGUGACGGUACCUGUAGAAGAAGCACCGGCCAACUACGUGCCAGCAGCCGCGGUA
RNAcentral lists this ribosomal RNA (499 nucleotides) under uncultured Actinomycetes bacterium. Its description in RNAcentral is "bacterial SSU rRNA". It matches the Rfam family "Bacterial small subunit ribosomal RNA", at positions 8 to 522 of the family's 1533-position model. The record is from RNAcentral. Lineage: Bacteria; Bacillati; Actinomycetota; Actinomycetes.